GGGGUGGAAAAAGUAUGUCGGCAAGUCAGCUGGUUUCCCAGUGCAGGACGCGCUGACAGCUCGAGUGAGCGGACUGCUCAGGACUUCGGAACUAGACGAGUUCUAUAGAAAUCCUGUCAAAGAAUAUGAAGAAAAACAGAGAAAGAUUCUGCAAUAGAGAGAGAGAAUUUGUAUAUAAAUUUAAAGUAGGAAGUCAGUGCUUAGAACUGAGAGUGCCACUCAGAUUUCCUGUUCAAGAGAAUGCCAGUCAUUUACAUGGACGUCUGAUGCUGCUGCACAGUUUACCGUGCUUUAUAGAAAAAGACUUAAAAGAAGCUCUGACUCAGUUUAUAGAAGAAGAAUCCCUGAGCGAUUAUGAUAGAGAUGCUGAAGCAUCCCUGGAAGCUGUGAAAUCAGGUGAAGUAGAUUUACAUCAGCUGGCAAGUACAUGGGCCAAAGCUUAUGCUGAGGUAAGAAAAUAGGUCAGAUUGUAAAUUUCAAGGAUAUUCUGGAUUUUGGUGAAAAUUUUUAAAAUGCUAUGGUAAUCCUGAAAUAGUUAUAAGAUCCUUUUUCUCCAUAUAC
This 561-nucleotide small RNA is filed under the name Pongo abelii (Sumatran orangutan). RNAcentral's name for it is "retained intron". Lineage: Eukaryota; Metazoa; Chordata; Mammalia; Primates; Hominidae. The record is from RNAcentral.